CAGUCGCCGCGGUAAUACGGAGGGUGCAAGCGUUAAUCGGAAUUACUGGGCGUAAAGCGCACGCAGGCGGUUUGUUAAGUCAGAUGUGAAAUCCCCGAGCUUAACUUGGGAACUGCAUUUGAAACUGGCAAGCUAGAGUCUUGUAGAGGGGGGUAGAAUUCCAGGUGUAGCGGUGAAAUGCGUAGAGAUCUGGAGGAAUACCGGUGGCGAAGGCGGCCCCCUGGACAAAGACUGACGCUCAGGUGCGAAAGCGUGGGGAGCAAACAGGAUUAGAGACCCGUGUAGUCCCUGUCUCUUAUAA
Molecule: ribosomal RNA, 301 nt
Filed under: uncultured bacterium
Lineage: Bacteria
Description: partial 16S ribosomal RNA
Rfam family: Bacterial small subunit ribosomal RNA
Source: RNAcentral